RNAcentral lists this non-coding RNA (133 nucleotides) under Streptomyces venezuelae ATCC 10712. RNAcentral describes it as "Bacterial large subunit ribosomal RNA". It matches the Rfam family "Bacterial large subunit ribosomal RNA", at positions 1874 to 2001 of the family's 2925-position model. Lineage: Bacteria; Bacillati; Actinomycetota; Actinomycetes; Kitasatosporales; Streptomycetaceae. The record is from Rfam by way of RNAcentral.
ACGCUGGCGGCGUGCUUAACACAUGCAAGUNNNNNNCUGAGAACUUAAGCGCCAGUAAACGGCGGUGGUAACUAUAACCAUCCUAAGGUAGCGAAAUUCCUUGUCGGGUAAGUUCCGACCUGCACGAAUGGCG